Molecule: ribosomal RNA, 253 nt
Filed under: uncultured bacterium
Lineage: Bacteria
Description: partial 16S ribosomal RNA
Rfam family: Bacterial small subunit ribosomal RNA
Source: RNAcentral
UACGUAGGGUGCAAGCGUUGUCCGGAAUUAUUGGGCGUAAAGAGCUCGUAGGCGGUCUGUCGCGUCGGAUGUGAAAACUCGGGGCUCAACCCCGGGCCUGCAUUCGAUACGGGCAGACUAGAGUACGGCAGGGGAGACUGGAAUUCCUGGUGUAGCGGUGAAAUGCGCAGAUAUCAGGAGGAACACCGAUGGCGAAGGCAGGUCUCUGGGCCACUACUGACGCUGAGAAGCGAAAGCAUGGGGAGCGAACAGG